This 253-nucleotide ribosomal RNA is filed under the name uncultured bacterium. Its description in RNAcentral is "partial 16S ribosomal RNA". It matches the Rfam family "Bacterial small subunit ribosomal RNA", at positions 524 to 776 of the family's 1533-position model. The record is from RNAcentral.
GACAGAGGGUGCAAACGUUGUUCGGAAUUACUGGGCGUAAAGCGCGUGUAGGCUGCUUGGAAAGUCGGAUGUGAAAGCCCAGAGCUCAACUCUGGAACUGCCUUUGAGACUGAGAGGCUUGAGUACGGGAGAGGUGAGUGGAAUUCCCAGUGUAGAGGUGAAAUUCGUAGAUAUUGGGAAGAACACCGGUGGCGAAGGCGGCUCACUGGCCCGAAACUGACGCUCAUGCACGACAGCGUGGGGAUCAAACAGG